Marasmius tenuissimus is the source of this 86-nucleotide non-coding RNA. The record is from the annotation of a GenBank genome assembly. NCBI's taxonomy places the organism in Eukaryota, Fungi, Basidiomycota, Agaricomycetes, Agaricales, Marasmiaceae.
GGCCGCCUGGCGAAAUGGCAUCGCGUCUGACUACGAUCAUGAUGGAAGUAAUCAGGAGAUUGCAGGUUCGACCCCUGCGGUGGUCA